CCUACGGGAGGCAGCAGUGGGGAAUAUUGCACAAUGGGGGAAACCCUGAUGCAGCGACGCCGCGUGAGUGAUGAAGUAUUUCGGUAUGUAAAGCUCUAUCAGCAGGGAAGAAAAUGACGGUACCUGAUUAAGAAGCUCCGGCUCACUACGUUCCAGCAGCCGCGGUAAUACGUAGGGGGCAAGCGUUAUCCGGAUUUACUGGGUGUAAAGGGAGCGUAGACGGCUGGACGAGUCUGGAGUGAAAUGCCGGGGCUUAACCCCGGAACUGCUUUGGAAACUGUGCGGCUUGAGUGCAGGAGAGGUGAGUGGAAUUCCUGGUGUAGCGGUGAAAUGCGUAGAUAUUGGGAGGAACACCAGUGGCGAAGGCAGCUUACUGGACUGUAACUGACGUUGAGGCGCGAAAGCGUGGGGAGCGAACAGGAUUAGAUACCCGUGUAGUC
RNAcentral lists this ribosomal RNA (440 nucleotides) under uncultured bacterium. Its description in RNAcentral is "partial 16S ribosomal RNA". It matches the Rfam family "Bacterial small subunit ribosomal RNA", at positions 338 to 795 of the family's 1533-position model. The record is from RNAcentral.